This is a non-coding RNA of Phrynosoma platyrhinos (Desert horned lizard), 71 nucleotides long. NCBI's taxonomy places the organism in Eukaryota, Metazoa, Chordata, Lepidosauria, Squamata, Phrynosomatidae. The record is from the annotation of a GenBank genome assembly.
GCCAGCAUGGUGUAGUGGUUUGAAUGUUGGACUAGUACUCUGGAGAUCAGAGUUUGAAACUCUGUUUGGCC